UACGUAGGGGGCAAGCGUUGUCCGGAAUCAUUGGGCGUAAAGAGCGUGUAGGCGGCCCGGUAAGUCCGCCGUGAAAGUCCAGGGCUCAACCCUGGAAUGCCGGUGGAAACUGCCGGGCUGGAGUCCGGAAGAGGCGAGUGGAAUUCCUGGUGUAGCGGUGAAAUGCGCAGAUAUCAGGAGGAACACCAAUGGCGAAGGCAGCUCGCUGGGACGGUACUGACGCUGAGGCACGAAAGCGUGGGGAGCAAACAGG
RNAcentral lists this ribosomal RNA (253 nucleotides) under uncultured bacterium. Its description in RNAcentral is "partial 16S ribosomal RNA". It matches the Rfam family "Bacterial small subunit ribosomal RNA", at positions 524 to 776 of the family's 1533-position model. The record is from RNAcentral.